Non-coding RNA from Myodes glareolus (Bank vole), 1411 nucleotides. The record is from RefSeq and is a predicted model, not a curated record. Lineage: Eukaryota; Metazoa; Chordata; Mammalia; Rodentia; Cricetidae.
CACACACUGGGUUCCACUCCCCAUCUCCACCCCAUGACAAUGGCUUAAUUUAGUCUUCUUGCAUUCAACCAAUCCAAGCCAUCACUCCUCCUACUCAGGGGUAGGGUGAAGGUAGCCACAAGGUUCUUUAGUCCGAGCAGCUGUCUGCUUACUCUUUCAGAUCAAGCUUGGACGCUGCCUCCUUUGGGAGACUCUUCUCUGAGUCCUCUGCCCAACCUUUUCUGUAUAUUCUUUGAGGGAUUACAGAUAGACUGAACAACCAUCUAGACGCUGACUCUCGCAAUCCAGGUCUUCUGCUAGAUUAGAACCACUCCAGGUAUGGGACCUGCUGUUAACAGAAUAUUCUUUAAAGUCUUUAUUGGAGAAGUUGCUUGGGGCUUGGGAGAUAGGUAAAGAGCUUGCCAGUGUCCUCCUAUACAUGCACAUAUGCAUACACACACACACGCAUAUACAUCUGCACACAUAAACUGUUCAUAUAUAUGCUUUUAAACACACAAAGGAUGUUAGAGUAUACUGAUUUUGAGAGUACAAGCACUGGAACCUAGGGCCUGUGCAUACCAAAAUUGUGGUAAACCACUGAGCUACCACCUUCUCCCCGCCCCCCAAGUUUUAACUUAAUCUUUGAAAAGUUUCACCCAGCUCCCAAGUACUCUGAACUUGCCAGGUGGUCAAGAGUUUAUCUCAUGAUUUCCGAGAGCGCUCAGGAUAGAGCUGAAAGUGUGUAGACAUACCCUCAGCCCUUAAGGAACCCAUCAUGUCUUAGGAGACAGAAACCAUCUGGAAAAGGAAAAGGAAAUUAUAAGACAUGAGCAGAAAGGCAGAGAAAGCUUGGGGGAGGGCACUGGAGUGAGCCUGGCAGGCGUCACAUUCGAGUUGCUUUCUGGCUGGUGGAGUGCUUAAUGCAGACUCUGUGAAGAACCUCAAGCAGACAGCCACAGCAAGGACGCCUCAAUGCUCUGCGGUCUGUUUGACUCAAGUUUCUUACGUGCGGCCCACCAGUCUCCUCCUGCGGCCAUCUGUAUUCAGUGAGUGCAGGUGGUGUAAAAAGUCUUGGUCCGCUGGCUAUUCUGCCACACCUUUGGCAUGAAAGACAGUGAGAGGGAGUUGACUCUGUCUGCCCAGAAGUUAUGAGGUCCUCAACAGUCUUGGGCGAGGUAAUCUAUGACGGGGACACACGGAAGUUACUCAACAGUCCCAGACCAGGUAAUCUAUGACCAUUCACACGGAAGCCACCUGUUGGAUUUAGGCUACAGAGUGCUAAUCCUACAUCUCACAAAUACAGAAUCUAAAUAUUAGUUAAGUAACUUGGCCACAGUUACACAGCUCUUCGAUGGAGGUCCAGGAUCCUAGCCCAGGUUUUCACAUGCACAGCAAGGAAAUGAUGUAUCUAACAGAGGAUAACUCAAAGGAU